RNAcentral lists this non-coding RNA (121 nucleotides) under bovine gut metagenome. Its description in RNAcentral is "Glycine riboswitch". It matches the Rfam family "Glycine riboswitch aptamer", at positions 11 to 84 of the family's 94-position model. From Rfam's summary of the family: This family represents the bacterial glycine riboswitch. Glycine riboswitches usually consist of two metabolite-binding aptamers domains with similar structures in tandem. The record is from RNAcentral.
UUAACUGGAGAGACCCAAAGCCGGGUACCUAAUGGUAUCCGGCUUAUUUUUUAAGAGGGCGCCGAAGGUGUAAGAUGCGGAUGAUGUCUGUAUCGAUCUCUCAGGCAAAAGGACAGGAGAC